Molecule: long non-coding RNA, 955 nt
Organism: Cornus florida
Lineage: Eukaryota; Viridiplantae; Streptophyta; Magnoliopsida; Cornales; Cornaceae
Exons: 2
Source: RefSeq, a predicted model, not a curated record
UUAAAAAACAGAAAAGGAAAAAAAAGUAAUAUUGUAAGGGUAGAAGAAAGUCAUAGAGUCAAUGCCAUGUUGGAAUGAUGGUAUUUGAAAGACUGAGUCGUUGGGCCAUUCGCCCAAAAUACAAUUCCUAUUUUGUAAUUCAGCUUUCACACCUACAUCACAUUCUUCCUCAUUUUCACUUUUUUUUAUUAAUUUAUUUUAUUCUUUUUUUUCGUCUUCUUCUUCCAAUGCAACCUCUUCUUUAUCUUCCUUCCUUUCAUUCCAUUGGUGAUUCUCAUUUUAUAAUCUUUAUAUAUAAAAAAUGCUCCAUUUCAUAGUCUUUGACCCAAAUAUGUAUAUAUACACAACUGUUUGAUUAUUUCUAGAGAGAGAGAAAAAGAUGGAUAGCUCAAUGGGGGCAGGGUUGAUGGUAGUUUUUGCAGUUUCAGGAAGUGUAGCACUCUUUGCACUUCAUGUUCAUAAGCGUCUCCUCUCUGACUUCAUGAAGAAGAUUGAAUUUGAAUUGGGAUCAACAGAGAAAGGUGAAUCACCUAAGAAGACGGUGAGCUUCGCGGUGGAUGUGAUGGAGCCAUCAUCAAAUAACAAAGAAUAUCGAAAGAAACAUAUCAUGAGAAAGGCGGCGACCAGCGUUGACUCGGUUCAUGAUCAUAAUAAUCUAUGUUCAUCCAACAACAAUAUGCAUAUGCCUCUGAAUAGGCAAGUUCUGUAUAAAGGGCUCAUAGAAUAUAAAUCUCUCUUAGGCUGCAAUGUCUCUACUACUUGCUAAUUGCUAGCGCAACGCCUCUGUUUGGUGGUGGCAGAACUGGGGUGGCGGUGGCUGUGGUGGUGGCUAUGAUGGUGGUGCUAAAAAUGUAUAAAGUUGUAUAUCUAGAACUUCCAUAAAUAAUUUUCCAUUAAUAUUGUAAGUUUGUAACAUGUAUAAAAUCCUGGGAAUUGAAACAGGAUGUUGUUUUUC